Molecule: ribosomal RNA, 507 nt
Filed under: Cafius bistriatus
Lineage: Eukaryota; Metazoa; Arthropoda; Insecta; Coleoptera; Staphylinidae
Description: partial 16S ribosomal RNA
Rfam family: Bacterial large subunit ribosomal RNA (bases 384-507)
Source: RNAcentral
GUCUUUUUGUUUAUAAUUUAAAGUCUAACCUGCCCACUGAAUUUUUAAAGGCCGCGGUAUUUUGACCGUGCGAAGGUAGCAUAAUAAUUAGUUUUUUAAUUGAAAGCUGGAAUGAAUGGUUGCACGAGGGGGUAACUGUCUCUAUAUUAUUAAAUUAGAAUUUUAUUUUUGAGUCAAAAAGCUUAAAUAUAUUUAAAAGACGAGAAGACCCUAUAGAUUUUUAUAAUUUUUUUUUUUAAAGGAGUUUAGAGUGUUUAAAUUUUAAUUGAAAAUUUUAUUUUGUUGGGGUGAUGGAAAAAUUUGAUAAACUUUUUUUUUAUUUUAACAUUGAUUUAUGAUUUAAUGAUCCAUAUUUUAUGAUUAUAAGAUUAAAUUACCUUAGGGAUAACAGCGUAAUUUUUUCUGAGAGUUCUUAUCGAAGAAGAAGAUUGCGACCUCGAUGUUGGAUUAAAAUUUAUAUUUGGUGUAGGGGCUAAAUAAUUAGGUCUGUUCGACCUUUAAAAUUUU